GGAUGGAUCAUUACCAAAGGAUUUUUUAAUCUUGACGUAAAUGUGAACAGUAUAGAAAUAUAUGAGGGUCAGUGUUUUUUCCACCGAGAAAGCACUGACCUUUUAUUUACAAACGUAUUUGAAACUGAAAUCUACUUUAGCAUAAAAAACUAAAGACAACUUUUAGCAACGGAUCUCUUGGCUCUCGCAACGAUGAAGAACGCAGCGAAAUGCGAUAAGUAGUGUGAAUUGCAGAUACCGUGAAUCAUCAAGUCUUUGAACGCACCUUGCACUGUCUGGAACUCCGGGCAGUAUACCUGUUUGAGUAUCAGUAAACACUCCUUGAAAACUCUUUUUAGGGUUUUCCAGGGAAUUGAGCCGUCAUCCUCUACUGGGUGUGGCUUUAAAUGUAGUCACUAGCGCGAGGCAAAUGCUUGCACGUCACUAGCGGGACAGAGUUAAUGGGCUUCUGCCUGUCACUGUCUUGUUAGGUGUUUGGUAGGUGUGACGCGACUGGUGAGUGUUUUCCGGUGAUUGGUGUCUCAACAACACCAUAAACCCUAGCACGAAACCCCCCCCUACAGUUGGCACCCCAACUGUGCUCUUGAUCUCAAAUCAGGUAAGAUUACCCGCUGAACUUAAGCAUAUUAAUAAGCGGAGGAAAAGAAACUAACCAGGAUUCCCCUAGUAACGGCGAGUGAAGCGGGAACAGCUCAAAUUUAAAAUCUCCUAGGAGAAUUGUAGUUUGUAGAGGUGCUUUCGUUGUCGGCCCGGGUACAAGUCCCUUGGGACAGGGCAUCAUAGAGGGUGAGAAUCCCGUCUUUGAUCCGGUAGCCGGCACACUGUGAUGCACUCUCAAAGAGUCGGGUUGUUUGGGAAUGCAGCCCUAAGUGGGUGGUAUAUUUCAUCUAAAGCUAAAUACUGGCGAGAGACCGAUAGCGAACAAGUACCGUGAGGGAAAGAUGAAAAGAACUUUGAAAAGAGAGUUAAAUAGUACGUGAAAUUGCUAAAAGGGAAACGAUUGAAAUCAGUGUUGGUGGUAGUAAAUCAGCUAGUCAGCAAUGGCUGGUGCACUUUACUAUUCACCAGGUCAACAUCAGUUUUGGUCGGGGCAAAUUAGUGCGGGAAGGUGACUCCCUCGGGAGUGUUAUAGCCCGCAUGAGUACCCCGGCUGGGACUGAGGACUGCAGUGCAUGCCCUUCGGGGCAGGCGAAUCGGGCACUAUUUUGGUAUUGGUUGGUGGCAGCGUGCUGACUCCGAUCAAUGGGUAAAGUAAAUGUCCGGCUAGCACUAAUGCGCUAAGGAUGUUGACGAAAUGGUUUUAAACGACCCGUCUUGAAACACGGACCAAGGAGUCUAACACAUGUGCGAGUGUUUGGGUGGCAAGCCCAUACGCGUAAUGAAAGUAAAUGCAGGUGGGAACCUCGGUAAAACGGGGUGCACCAUCGACCGGUCUGGAUUUUUAAUGAUAGAUCUGAGUAAGAGCAUAUAUGUUGGGACCCGAAAGAUGGUGAACUAUGCCUGAAUAGGGCGAAGCCAGAGGAAACUCUGGUGGAGGCUCGUAGCGGUACUGACGUGCAAAUCGUUCGUCAAAUUUGGGUAUAGGGGCGAAAGACUAAUCGAACCAUCUAGUAGCUGGUUCCCUC
RNAcentral lists this unclassified non-coding RNA (1625 nucleotides) under uncultured fungus. RNAcentral describes it as "sequence contains 18S rRNA gene, ITS1, 5.8S rRNA gene, ITS2, 28S rRNA gene". The stretch from base 585 to 1625 matches the Rfam family "Eukaryotic large subunit ribosomal RNA", at positions 1 to 961 of the family's 3401-position model. The record is from RNAcentral. Lineage: Eukaryota; Fungi.